Molecule: ribosomal RNA, 1434 nt
Filed under: uncultured organism
Description: 16S ribosomal RNA
Rfam family: Bacterial small subunit ribosomal RNA
Source: RNAcentral
GAUGAACGCUAGCGACAGGCUUAACACAUGCAAGUCGAGGGGCAGCGGGGGUAGCGAUACCCGCCGGCGACCGGCGCACGGGUGAGUAACGCGUAUGCAACUUGCCUAUCAGAGGGGGAUAACCCGGCGAAAGUCGGACUAAUACCGCAUGAAGCAGGGGCCCCGCAUGGGGAUAUUUGCUAAAGAUUCAUCGCUGAUAGAUAGGCAUGCGUUCCAUUAGGCAGUUGGCGGGGUAACGGCCCACCAAACCGACGAUGGAUAGGGGUUCUGAGAGGAAGGUCCCCCACAUUGGUACUGAGACACGGACCAAACUCCUACGGGAGGCAGCAGUGAGGAAUAUUGGUCAAUGGCCGAGAGGCUGAACCAGCCAAGUCGCGUGAGGGAUGAAGGUUCUAUGGAUCGUAAACCUCUUUUAUAAGGGAAUGAAGUGCGGGACGUGUCCCGUUUUGUAUGUACCUUAUGAAUAAGGAUCGGCUAACUCCGUGCCAGCAGCCGCGGUAAUACGGAGGAUCCGAGCGUUAUCCGGAUUUAUUGGGUUUAAAGGGUGCGUAGGCGGCCUUUUAAGUCAGCGGUGAAAGUCUGUGGCUCAACCAUAGAAUUGCCGUUGAAACUGGGGGGCUUGAGUAUGUUUGAGGCAGGCGGAAUGCGUGGUGUAGCGGUGAAAUGCAUAGAUAUCACGCAGAACCCCGAUUGCGAAGGCAGCCUGCCAAGCCAUUACUGACGCUGAUGCACGAAAGCGUGGGGAUCAAACAGGAUUAGAUACCCUGGUAGUCCACGCAGUAAACGAUGAUCACUAGCUGUUUGCGAUACACUGUAAGCGGCACAGCGAAAGCGUUAAGUGAUCCACCUGGGGAGUACGCCGGCAACGGUGAAACUCAAAGGAAUUGACGGGGGCCCGCACAAGCGGAGGAACAUGUGGUUUAAUUCGAUGAUACGCGAGGAACCUUACCCGGGUUUGAACGCAUUCGGACCGAGGUGGAAACACCUUUUCUAGCAAUAGCCGUUUGCGAGGUGCUGCAUGGUUGUCGUCAGCUCGUGCCGUGAGGUGUCGGCUUAAGUGCCAUAACGAGCGCAACCCUUGCCACUAGUUACUAACAGGUAAAGCUGAGGACUCUGGUGGGACUGCCAGCGUAAGCUGCGAGGAAGGCGGGGAUGACGUCAAAUCAGCACGGCCCUUACAUCCGGGGCGACACACGUGUUACAAUGGCGUGGACAAAGGGAGGCCACCUGGCGACAGGGAGCGAAUCCCCAAACCACGUCUCAGUUCGGAUCGGAGUCUGCAACCCGACUCCGUGAAGCUGGAUUCGCUAGUAAUCGCGCAUCAGCCAUGGCGCGGUGAAUACGUUCCCGGGCCUUGUACACACCGCCCGUCAAGCCAUGGGAGCCGGGGGUACCUGAAGUCCGUAACCGAAAGGAUCGGCCUAGGGUAAAACU